This 2657-nucleotide long non-coding RNA is filed under the name Phasianus colchicus (ring-necked pheasant). RNAcentral's name for it is "lncRNA (ENSPCLG00000020826.1)". Lineage: Eukaryota; Metazoa; Chordata; Aves; Galliformes; Phasianidae. The record is from RNAcentral.
AUGGCGAUUGCGGCGGGGGAAGGGGAGUCGUCUGCGGAGACGCGAGGGAGAAUGGGGGCGGGGAGAGAUGGUGGAGGGAUGGCGGCGCAGGGCGGAGGCACUGCAUCCUCCAAGGAGCUGUCAUGCGGCCGGCUUGGUGAAAUGAAGAGACUGGCUAAUUCAUGCACACAGGCAGGAGCAUAUAGCACUGUACUGUCAGCCAUUACAGGAACCUGCAGCAAGACCAGCUGGAGCGAGGCAGCUCUGAACAGUUCACACAGCACUUUGAAGCAAACCUCUGUGUCAAGCUUAGGAAACAGAUGUGCAGAAGGUGAGCGGAGUUGUCCAAGACUGCCCAGUAAACUGGUGGUAAAACAGAUAGGAAACCUGAUGCCUCCCACUGCCAAAUGGAAUUCACUUGUCACAUACAAGGUCUCACUGCCAGGAGCUGGAGAUACCACAUUCCCACGACACCUGAUUGCAGUUCUUCAAGCUCUGGGCUUUCACACCUUUAAAAUGGGAUCCAGUGUCUCCUAUUAUUUGCCUACAUCCAUCCACUCCAGUUGCCUGUGAUCACAGUUGGUUCUGGCUCAGCAGGCUUCCUGUUGGGAGCCGUAUGGUUCUGCUCUGAUAACAGGUUCUCAAAGCAAGAUAUUGUUAAUUUGAACACAAUCAUAAACUAUGAAAGGAAAACCUCUCCUCUAGUCUCUACUGGUAAUAUGACAAAUGUUUUUGCUCACCCAAGCACUCAGUGGAGCCUGUCUUCUAUGUGUUUCAGCUCCACAAAGGUACUCCAUUUCCCAUAUCUCCAAGGAGGUGCUUUUUGAUCCUUUGGCCCAAAUUCUCAGCCAAAAUCCCCCUUACAGCCUAGAAGUAGCAUUUUCCCAGGGAUUUUAUCAAGUUACUGCAUGUUAGUGACUAAGAGUGCAUAUAUAAAGCUAAGACAAUACCUUUGAAGCUGAUUUCCUGAUUUAUUUAUUUAUUUAUUUAAUAUUUUCUAUUCCUCUUCAGUUUUCCUUUAUAACUUCCCAUAUGGAGGUAAUGAAAUUAUUGGCAGCCCAAUAUAGCCCUGCAAAACUUCCUCUUUUGCUAGUCUUUAGCAUCACUGAUGAACUCCUGAUCCUUUACAGCGUUUUUGUUUUAGUGUUUGUUAUGGUUAUAGCGUAAUUUAGUGACUGGAAAUCAGAAUAAGGUUAUGAAAUUCACUUUUGCUGAGUUCCCCCAAAGCUAUCAUCAAACUCCCCAUCUCUGAAUCAUUGACAUACAAGAGAACUGCUCAGUGCUGCAUCCCCUAAUUCUUACUGUUAUCAGUCUCCAUUGUGUAAAGAAGCUCACAAAGGCAGACAUUCAUCUAAUAUUCCCAUUAGAACAAUCCUACUAAUACAAGUGAUUUAAGUGUAGACUUUUGUUGUAGAAAUAAUAGCUUAAGUGGAGGUGGAACCUCCUCUAUACAUCUUUCUUUUUUUUCUUUUGAUAUCUAGGGCCUACACUGUGUGAUAUGUCACAGGGAAUAUCGGUGUAACUGCAUAUUGUAAUUUGCUUGCAGUAAGUGUCGUUCAGUGUAUCAAUGAAAUAUGUGACAGUGGUAGGAACAUGGAAAUAAUAUGUUUUUAUGAUCUAGCAGACUUUUUUUUUUAUCAAGUUGUUUGAGUUUCAUUUGUUAGUGGAGUAAUACCAUCACAAGAAACACUGCAUAACCAAUACUGCAUCCAAAGUGAAAGUGUUACUUAAAACUUAUUCUUUUUAAAAGAAAGUCUUCCCAGAAAAGGCUUCUUUGUGUGAGCACACAGGCAUCUGUAUGCUCAACAACUCCCAUCCACAUCCUUCCACCUCUGCUAGCAUUUGAGUAGUUGUGAGUGAUGGAGUCUACAAAUGAAAAUAUCAGGCGGAAAGUAAUUCUGAAAAUAAUGUAGACACUGUAGUUGAAUCUGAGAGAGAUUACACUGUAUGUGUACGUCUGUGUGUCUGUGUGUAUGAAAGAAAGUGAGCGUGAGAGAGAUUACAUUGUGUUGGGAAAAGGAACAACAGUACGUAUUAGAGAGAGAUAAAAUCGUGUUUUCAGGGCCUCUGUGUUUCAAAGAUUUCAUUGUGCAGACGUUUGUACCUGUGCUUUUGCUGAGAAAUAUUUAUUUGUGUUUCUAGAGAGGGUGAGAUUACACUGUGUACGUGCAUUUUGUGAAUGCAGUGUGUUAUAGUAUGCACAUGUGUAUGUGUGUAUACAAAAGAGAGAGCCUGCACUGUGCUCGUUAAAAAGAGGAAAGGCCAUGUAUCCUAGAAGAAAGACAGUGUGUGUCUAUUACACAAAAUGAAAAUGUGUAAGUAUAAAAUAACCAGCUUGUAUAUGUGCAUACAAGUUCAUAUGUAUUUUAGAUAAUUUUAAAAUUCUAUUGCAAUUUUUUUUUUUACAAUAGAAAUCACUGUAGAGGUUUAGAAAUAUUUUUUCAAAAUUGUGGAAUGUCCUGGACUUUUUUUUUCACUUUUUCACUCAAAGCACUUAGGCUUUUAAUAGUUACUAUUAAAAUGCUUGUUGAAGAUUCAAAAUGAUACCUAGGAAUAUGCAACUUAUAAAAUUCCUGCCUUAGAAGAGUCAACUGGAGCAAUUGUUUGGUUCAUUGAUAAACAACGCUUGGAGCUAACAGAAAAAUAAAAAAUCAUCAGAAGUUGUAUUUUGUCCUAAG